This 467-nucleotide ribosomal RNA is filed under the name uncultured bacterium. Its description in RNAcentral is "partial 16S ribosomal RNA". It matches the Rfam family "Bacterial small subunit ribosomal RNA", at positions 28 to 507 of the family's 1533-position model. The record is from RNAcentral.
GACGAACGCUGGCGGCGUGCUUAACACAUGCAAGUCGAACGGAAAGGCCCUGCUUUUGUGGGGUGCUCGAGUGGCGAACGGGUGAGUAACAAGUAAGUAACCUGCCCUUGACUUUGGGAUAACUUCAGGAAACUGGGGCUAAUACCGGAUAGGAGCUCCUGCUGCAUGGUGGGGGUUGGAAAGUUUCGGCGGUUGGGGAUGAGCUCGCGGUUUAUCAGCUUGUUGGUGGGGUAGUGGCUUACCAAGGCUUUGACGGGUAGCCGGCCUGGGAGGGUGACAGGCACAUUGGGACUGAGAUACGGCCCAGACUCCUACGGGAGGCAGCAGUGGGGAAUAUUGCACAAUGGGCGGAAGCCUGAUGCAGAGACGCCGCGUGCGGGAUGACGGCCUUCGGGUUGUAAACCGCUUUCGCCUGUGACGAAGCGUGAGUGACGGUAAUGGGUAAAGAAGCACCGGCUAACUACGUG